This is a long non-coding RNA of Camponotus floridanus (Florida carpenter ant), 614 nucleotides long. RefSeq lists it as uncharacterized. Lineage: Eukaryota; Metazoa; Arthropoda; Insecta; Hymenoptera; Formicidae. The transcript is spliced from 2 exons. The record is from RefSeq and is a predicted model, not a curated record.
UGUUAACUUUUACAGGAAAACAAUUCUUCCCUUUCAAUAUAGUAUCAUUAUACUUGCACACUUUACAGAGUGAUAUUUACUUCAUCAUUGGUAUUUUCGACAAUUACGAAAAUUACAUUGCGGAAGUAAAGUGUAUCGAUUCGCUUGUUAUCGACCUUUUCCUCUCGUCCGGUAGAUAAACCUUUAUUACUAUCUGUUAUUCCCACAAAAUUUUUCACAUAAUAACCCAAGAAAAGCGUGAAAAACUCUCUGAACUCUAUAAGCGAUCUUUAAUAAAAUAUGACGGAGAAUAGAAGUCAGGGCUACCACAGUAUUUUCCAGCGCAGUCGUGUUUCAGCCUUCGUGAAAAAAUGGAAUUUGCUGGCAAGCGCUACUAUAAGUUAAGUCAAAAUUUAUUAAUCGCACUCGGUCUAUGGCCGUAUAAUAACUCAAUGUUCAAAAAUAUUCAGAGAGUAUUUUUCAUUCUACUACUCGCAUUUUCCAUAUUUGUGCAGUUAGGAAAGAUCAUGACAAGCGUAUUUAAUUUGGAAUCUCUUCUUCAAAUCUUAUCAUUCGCUAUACCUUGUUUAGUGUUCUCUUUGAAAUAUGCUACAUUUUGUGUAAAAUAUAAAGCU